UGAAGAAAUCAGUUCGAAUGCUUAGAGGACAAAGGCUUUCAAUUGUAUGUCCACUUCAUUUCUGCAGUUCAUAUAGUGCUGUCAAACAUGAGACAACCUAAAUUGAUCAUCAUAAUCCUUUUGUGUGCCUUUCCACCACCGAAGAGUUCGAGUACGAUAAUUCGGGGAACGACAGUUGCACCUGGCUACCACAGAUUAGAAGGAACUCUGGUAAAUUUCACCGCAUGCUUUCAUGUUGAUGUAGGGUGUCCUGGGCACACCGUCACCUCUCAUAGUGAUGUGGGCGACGAAAUGGAGUGCCAGAGCUUCUGUCAAGCUAACCCACUUUGCGGACUCUUUUGCUACAUUACAGAAAGCUUUCCAAAUCCAAUUAAUCGAAGAAAAUGUUACUUAAAAACGGAUCAAGCAGUACUUGCGCCAGCAUCGGACAUGGGAAGAAUUGCGGGUCCAAAAUGUUGUGAUGGUCAACCUUGUAAUUGAUUUUGGAGUUGGAGGAUUAACCACGUUUGGCCCACCCUCUCGAAUGAUUUGGAGCAAUCGACAAAGCAUCUGGUCACUCUCCUCUUAUUGCUGAUCUUUGAGCGUACAACUUUAAACAGGAGAGGAGUUCCGAAGGCAGUAGAGCGGGUUCUCCGAAAACCAAACUGGAAUUUGGGAAGUAUGAAAGACAAGGCAAGAUUUAUUUCUGUUUAUUUCUUUGACAACAGCGAGGAGAAAGUGCGUUCUAGCAACUAGGAGAGACAUCUGGAUCCAUCAAUUACAUUGGGUCUUUUAACCAACAGCUUCACUUUUACUUCAAAUAAUACUUUUUGUUCACACCACACUUUUUGGGCGAUUGGAAAAUGGGCCUUAAUAUUCCUCGCAAUUUCAAAUGACAAUGGGGGCAAAAUACUAAUGGCCAGGACACAGGCCUAGCAAAAGAGCAUAGCUUGCAAUCGAGAGUCUUAUUUUACUUGUGGCCCACCCAACUUUUGAUGAGCUCCAUGGGGCAAGCGAUUUAAGGUAUCUUAUUAAAGGAGAAAGAUGUUUGUGACUGAAUGUUGGGACCACUCGGUGUGAUUGCUAUUUCAAAGAGAUUAUUUUUUUCACUUUUACACCAAAACCUUUGUUUGUGAUGGUUUGUUUUGGUUUUCUAAAAGAGUAAGAGAGUGUUGUGCCAUUUGACAUGACUUGAAGACCAUUUUUUUGGCUUGAAAAGGGCCAUACAAUGAAUUUCAAUUCAAACUUGCUCCAAAAUUGCGUGCAAAGCAACUGAAAAUUUAUCAAUUAUGCAAAAAAAAAUAUUUGUAUCGUUUGCACAUCCUUAAUAAUGUCCAUUUGCCAUUACAUUAUAAUCAAUGUAGUAAUUUACUUACAGAUUGCAGGAAAAUGACUUGUUGAAUUUUGGUUCCUGUUUUCGGAUUGUUUAUUGAUUCUCUUAAAUUAUUGAAAUCUUGGAAAAUAUUUGGUGCAGUUUUAAUUCCUGAAUUUUCAUUUUUAUUUAUUUUUUUAUUUGUUUUUUCACGGGCUUUUCUAAUCACUACGGGGAAUGUAACCCUCAGUACAGUAUUAAAAUGAAAGGUUCUAAUUCGCAUAUCUAUUACCUGUCAUUCUAUAUAUAAUAUUUGCUCUACCAACGAGUUUGACUUGGCAGACCCAGCUAGUCUGAACAAUCGAUUUGUACAGAGUUAGCAUCGUGAUGCUAUCUCUGGACUUAUACGUGGGAUAUAUCCAACCACACAUUUGGAAAGCUUCACCCACCUUCAAAUGGAUAUGCUCAUCGAACUUUCCAUUAUUUUGGAGGACUGCACCUUGUUCUUUCAUAGAUGAGACCUGCUCGAUAUCUUUCCCUCCAUUGUGUCAUUGUGUAUGAGUGGAGUAUUCAAAGGAGUUGACCAGAAGGUCAUUGAGCCAAAUUUCACUCCGUUCAGGGCCAUAUUACUCUCCGUAACCCAAGAGUAGAUUCUUUCUAGGUCCUUCGCAAGGCUAAUGGAAGCUUGGCCAUUCCUACCAGAAACUACCUUUGUAUCGUCAGCAUAAGAAGAAAGACUGGCAGUAAUACUAAGCUUUUGAAGUGGGGCAACGAAUAUUAUAAAAAGGAGGGGCCCCUAAGAUGGAACCCUGGGGAACACCUGACUUGACAUCAUGUAUGUCACUAAGGGAUCCCUCAACCUUAACCAAUUGCUUCCUAUCAUGAAUGAAGCUUCUUACCCAAUUGAGAACAUUGCCUUGGAUCCCGAUGUCAUAAAGUCUAUUCAACAAAAGGUCAUGAUCUACUUUAUCAUAGGCCUUGGUGAAAUCAAGAUAGACAACAUCAACUGACUCAUAUCUCUCUAUUUUGAUUGACUUAAUUGUGAUGAAAAUGAGCCAAUGACUUUGCAAAAAUGAGAUACUCGUAUUAUCGUUGCUUCUAAAUUGGCAUCUUGAUGUUGCCUGGGGAAGAAUAACUUAGGGUUUUCCAAAUCAGCAAUGUCGACGGAUUAACGAAGUUAUUGCCCUAUUAUCAUUGGCAUCGUGAACUGAUUCAGGAUUGGACGAGAUCGGUAUCAAGCCUAAGAAUAUCGCACAUUUCGCCAAAAGAAGAAAUGUGGAGAUGGAUUGGCUAAACGGAAACCUGUGUUGCAACAACAACGUAGAUAGAGAAGGAGUGAAGAAGAAGAAGAACAAGAAGACACCAACAAAAUGUGUUGUUUCCACGUCGAGCAGAAAUCGCAGAAAUUUGGCGGUUCGGUUUUGCGAAAGAGCUCAACCGAGAGAUUGGGAAGAAAAUUGGUUUGUGCCACCCCCUCAGAAUUCGGCUCAACAUAAGAACAACACUUUUUGCGGCAGUCUAGUGAUGACCAAGGUUCAUAAUCAUAAGCAAUUGAUCAGAAAGGCAACAAUAGGUAACUUUAAUAUGUUGCUUUUCGUGUAAAAUAAAUUUGAU
Molecule: long non-coding RNA, 2905 nt
Organism: Tigriopus californicus
Lineage: Eukaryota; Metazoa; Arthropoda; Copepoda; Harpacticoida; Harpacticidae
Exons: 3
Source: RefSeq, a predicted model, not a curated record